AUUGACCUCGGAUCAGGUAGGGAUACCCGCUGAACUUAAGCAUAUCAAUAAGCGGAGGAAAGAAAACCAACCAA
RNAcentral lists this ribosomal RNA (74 nucleotides) under Anaptychia ciliaris. RNAcentral's name for it is "partial 28S ribosomal RNA". It matches the Rfam family "Eukaryotic large subunit ribosomal RNA", at positions 1 to 72 of the family's 3401-position model. The record is from RNAcentral. Lineage: Eukaryota; Fungi; Ascomycota; Lecanoromycetes; Caliciales; Physciaceae.